GAUGAACGCUAGCUACAGGCUUAACACAUGCAAGUCGAGGGGAAACGAUGAGAGAGCUUGCUCUCUUAGUCGUCGACCGGCGCACGGGUGAGUAACGCGUAUCCAACCUGCCUCUGACCAAGGGAUAACCCGUCGAAAGUCGGACUAAUACCUUAUGCAGUCGUCGGAAGUCAUCUGAUGACGACGAAAGAUUUCAUCGGUGAGAGAUGGGGAUGCGUCUGAUUAGCUUGUUGGCGGGGUAACGGCCCACCAAGGCGACGAUCAGUAGGGGUUCUGAGAGGAAGGUCCCCCACAGUGGAACUGAGACACGGUCCAAACUCAUACGGGAGGCAGCAGUGAGGAAUAUUGGUCAAUGGGCGUAAGCAUGAACCAGCCAAGUAGCGUGCAGGAUGACGGCCCUAUGGGUUGUAAACUGCUUUUAUGCGGGGAUAAAGUGAGGGACGUGUCCUUCAUUGCAGGUACCGCAUGAAUAAGGACCGGCUAAUUCCGUG
RNAcentral lists this ribosomal RNA (491 nucleotides) under uncultured bacterium. RNAcentral's name for it is "partial 16S ribosomal RNA". It matches the Rfam family "Bacterial small subunit ribosomal RNA", at positions 28 to 507 of the family's 1533-position model. The record is from RNAcentral.